UUGAGCAUCAAACUUUUAAAUUGAAGAGUUUGAUCAUGGCUCAGAUUGAACGCUGGCGGCAGGCCUAACACAUGCAAGUCGAACGGUAACAGGAAGCAGCUUGCUGCUUUGCUGACGAG
RNAcentral lists this ribosomal RNA (119 nucleotides) under Escherichia coli. RNAcentral's name for it is "partial 16S ribosomal RNA". The stretch from base 18 to 119 matches the Rfam family "Bacterial small subunit ribosomal RNA", at positions 1 to 97 of the family's 1533-position model. The record is from RNAcentral. Lineage: Bacteria; Pseudomonadati; Pseudomonadota; Gammaproteobacteria; Enterobacterales; Enterobacteriaceae.